UAGUCCCUCACUGCUGCAGGUAUGGGAUGGAUGUGUCUCCAAUAGUGCAGCUGUAAAAAGACAUUUUACUGCUGGGACACAUCCCCUGCCAGCGGCUUCUGAAUACAGCUCUGCUUUGGGCACACAUUACAGGUUUUUAUACCAGCGCUUUGAACAGCAAUUCAUUAUGUGGUUUAUUAGACCUGAAGUGCAGUUUCACGAUCAGAUUGAUUUAAUGCUGAUCUUGCCUUUUUGUUCCCUGUCUGCAAGCUUGCAUACUUGCCCCCUUGUGCUGGCACCAGCAUGGCACAUUGGGCCCUGCAGACAGCUUCAUCAGGAAGUUGAUUAAACUGAAUAUUAUUAAUUUUUAGCUUUGGGCCCAGAUCAGUUUCCUGAACUGGCUGAUUGCUUGGCUGCACAAAACUGAGUUCUGGGAGAAGAGAGAGGAUUAAAAUGUGGCACAGGCUCGCUCACUCUUCUCAGGAGCACCUCACACCUGGAUUAUCCAGACUUCUUUGGAAAGCACAAGUAUCUCUAAUUUGAAAGCUUCACAACUGAAUUAAAAUUAAGAAUGGAGAAGAAGAGGAAAAUGAGCCUUAGCUUAUGAUUGUCCAGAACAAUUACUUAAAUCCAUUUAGCUGCUUUUUUUAUUACAUCAUCAACUCAUGAAUACUUUUAACCAAAACCAAGAUGGGUUCUGAGUCACUCUUCAUCCUAACACCAACAGGAAUCUCUCUGCCAUAAAUAACAAUUGAACUGAGAUGUAGGUAGGAAAAUAAUAUGUAGAAGUUAAACUCUUCGACAGGAAUUUCAUUCAGAUGAUUUGGUGUAAAUGUUAAUUUCAGGCAUCAAAACCAUGAGAUUAGGGUAUUUCUUCUUUUAAAUACUUGUUUUCAGCUACAAUGAGGAGGUAACAGACCAAAUUCUUCCCCAGCUGCUAUCUGCUUCUCCCCUCCAAAUAUCUGAAUUACAGGAUCUGUUCCCUCCCGGUUGCACCAUAAUAACAAUUGUGAUGGUAAUAGGAUUAUCCAGUGUUAAAGUCAUUCAAGUUGCUUAAUGACCUAAGAACUUCCUCGAGGCUUUUACUUUUCAGCCAAGGAAGUGCUUUUCAUAAAGAAAAUGAUGCUAAAAUAAUCAAAACAAAACCUCACCAAAUGUUCAUGCAUUUAAGAUAUAAAUAAAGAAGAUUUAAGAACAUAUCCUUUCAGUGUUUUAAGAAAGUCCAUCAGUAUGUCUGCAUAAGAAUUAAAUUAAGUGGCAGGAGUGGGUGUAAAACAACAUUACCAUUCAUAGUCCCAGCUGAAUGGUGGAUUCAGAAAAGGAAAGAUGAAUUGCAGAGUGCAAAAUACAGAAAAGGCCAAUUCUACACACGCACGCCUGGAUCCUCAUGACAAAGCCCUGCCUGCCCUCUGUACUGCAACAAGAAUGACCGUGCCCCUGCUCUGUGACUGAGUUCUCCUGCUGUAACACAGCAAGGGUGAGAGGGGAGGGAGGUCCCUCCUGCUUUGCCCUUGCGUAUUCAUCUACAUCAGCGCUGAGUCAGUAAGAACGUCAGCCUGGAACAUUUCUCUUGGCAACAGUUUUGCUUGUGCUGCUCCAGUGUUUUGAGGAUCAUUUUAAUUUUAACUGGCAUCAUCCCUUAAUCUGUGUUGCCAAGCCAUCCCACAAGCGAUGUUCCCAUGUAACAUGGGAUGACAGACAGCAGUGGGCAGCCAGAGCUGCUUCACAUGAGCUCAGUGCAGGCUCAGCUGCAGUGUGAAACUGUCACUACAGAAGGGCUUUGUACCCACUUUGAUUUGACACAGCUGGUUAGGGGAUUAAAAACUCCUCCACUCUUAACAAAAAAUGCUUGUGAUGCUGGUCAAUCAAACUGCAACUCCAGCUUUUCCUUCUUGACAAUAUCUCUUUAAAGGUCUUAAAAGCUUUGAUUAAGGAAAUCAGCUAAAAAGCCCCAAUUAAUGAAAUAAACUACAAAGUCUCCACUGGGUUUAGAUGGAAGGACAACUUGGCUGUAUUUGGACCACAUCCCCACCCACUGCCCUAAUAUCUUACAGCUGCAAUUCCACUUCUACUGAACUGAGCGAUAGAAAUUUCUAAUGACUGAUCUUAAAUGAUCAUAGAGCCAUGCAACUUAAUUUCUUUCACUGUGGCUUCUUCUUAAGUCAAAUUGACAUGUCAUGGAUUUUGUUAAACGAUCUUAUUUUUUAUAAACCACUCAGCUAUGCACACUAGGGCAAGUAACAUGGGAAGUCCUAUACAGGCAGUAACACUUUGAAGGUAAAACCAGAUGUCAAGAGAGACAGCGUUCGGGUUUUACAGUGGGAUCUAGCUGUCCUACACUGUUUGUCUGAGCACAUAUGUAAUACCUUACAGCUUAGGCACAAAUAAA
This is a long non-coding RNA of Pezoporus occidentalis (night parrot), 2368 nucleotides long. RefSeq lists it as uncharacterized. NCBI's taxonomy places the organism in Eukaryota, Metazoa, Chordata, Aves, Psittaciformes, Psittacidae. The record is from RefSeq and is a predicted model, not a curated record. The transcript is spliced from 2 exons.